Long non-coding RNA from Malaya genurostris, 535 nucleotides. RefSeq lists it as uncharacterized. The transcript is spliced from 2 exons. The record is from RefSeq and is a predicted model, not a curated record. NCBI's taxonomy places the organism in Eukaryota, Metazoa, Arthropoda, Insecta, Diptera, Culicidae.
CGUAGUAUUAUCACGAUAUAGGUAAACCACUAGCAAAUGGUUUAUUUUAUCUCGGACGAGGUAUGAAAGCGAGCUGAAAAUUUGAUAAAUACGAAAGAACCACCCUGCUCGAUAUUUGAAAUUGUUUUAAGCAUUUGGGCGCAUGCUUCGCAUAAAAAUCGAUAUUCACCUUAGAAGGACCGCAGUACUUUCAUUUUGAAUUUAGCAACCGUAGUGCUAACAUUGUUCCGCUAGAUUUCUUAGUUUGACAUCAUAUAUAAUCAAAGUUCCUUUGCCUGCUGGCUACCGCUGCAAAAACGAAUCCAUAUGGACGAGACUGGUUGGACAAUCUUGCGCAUUCUAUCGCAGCGGAACAACGACGAAAUUGCGAAGGAAUUCGUGAAACUCAAGUCAGAAGCACGGCAGGAGAUAGCGGCUCAGGGCUAGAAAAGUUAAACACAUGUGUUACGUGGACCGAAUCGUUGAAAAUGACUUGUAUUAUUACUAAAUCAUUAUUAUACUACUAUUAAUAUAAUAUCAUCAUUGUUAUAGGUUA